This 492-nucleotide ribosomal RNA is filed under the name uncultured bacterium. Its description in RNAcentral is "partial 16S ribosomal RNA". It matches the Rfam family "Bacterial small subunit ribosomal RNA", at positions 30 to 507 of the family's 1533-position model. The record is from RNAcentral.
AUUGAACGCUGGCGGUAGGCCUAACACAUGCAAGUCGAACGGCAGCACAGUAAGAGCUUGCUCUUACGGGUGGCGAGUGGCGGACGGGUGAUGAAUACAUCGGAAUCUACUUUUUCGUGGGGGAUAACGUAGGGAAACUUACGCUAAUACCGCAUACGACCUACGGGUGAAAGCAUGGGAUCUUCGGACCUUGCGCGAUUGAAUGAGCCGAUGUCGGAUUAGCUAGUUGGCGGGGUAAAGGCCCACCAAGGCGACGAUCCGUAGCUGGUCUGAGAGGAUGAUCAGCCACACUGGAACUGAGACACGGUCCAGACUCCUACGGGAGGCAGCAGUGGGGAAUAUUGGACAAUGGGCGCAAGCCUGAUCCAGCCAUACCGCGUGGGUGAAGAAGGCCUUCGGGUUGUAAAGCCCUUUUGUUGGGAAAGAAAAGCAGCAGGUUAAUACCCCGCUGUUCUGACGGUACCCAAAGAAUAAGCACCGGCUAACUUCGUG